AACAAAUUAAUUUCUCUUUCNAAUAAAUUAAUUUAAUUACAAUUAAUUACUAAUUGAAUAAUAAUAAUUCUCCUAUGAUUUCAUCUCUUCCUUUACACUUUAAAUUUUAGUAAUUAAAGUUAAUAAUUAUAAAUUCUGCACACGUCCAAACACAGCCCCUGUGGCUAACCCAAUUAAAUUCUGAUGAUUAUUGUUUAAUGUUAAGUUUUUCCCACUAGGCCUGCAGCCCAAACAAUUAGUCGAAUCCAAAAAUUGUUAGUCCAACUUCAACUGUCCAAUCCACAACCCUAGCUUGCCACUGCCAACAUUGUUUGCCACCGCCAACCCUAGUUGCAGCCAUCACGACUUCGCUGCCAACCACNGCGUAACGGUUGUUGCUGCCCUCACAACCACAGCGAGAAAUCUAAUCUAGAACGAACCAGAAACGUCAUUCCCAUACAUAGAAACAAAACAUAAAUCCCUAAUUCAAUGCGAAUGAACCCUAUGUCUCAAAUCAAAAGAAAACAUAGAAACCCCAAAAAUCAGAAUCGAAAAUGAGGAUAGGAAAACCCCAAAAUCCCCAACAAAACCCUAAUUGCAAUACUUAAAGUCCCCCUCCGUGAAACGCAGGAGCCCUCAUCGCGCCUUCCUGCAAGCCAACAUGAAGAGAAUCGAGAAAACAACCAGGACGACCAUGUCCUCGUGUAGUCGCCGCGCCUCCGCCGCAACCUCGUCGCUUCUCACCGUAAUCUUAUCGCGUCUCUCACCUCCAUCACUGCACUCUCACCGCUGUUCGCAAGAAAAUGGAGCCGAGAAAAGAAGGGAGCUUCGACAUGUGCACGUUUUAGGAAAAGUAAAGAAAACUAAAUGAGUCACUGAGAAUAUGACCCCUUCCAAAAGAAUGAGGGUUGGGCCCUUUAUUGGGUUCCAUUUAUUCAAGCCCAAUUCAAAACAGAAAGAGAAGGAAAAGAACAUAGUGGACUUAACAAACAAAUUAACUUGGUCACUGACAGUAACCCUAAUCCCCAUUAACCUCUCAUUUAAAGAAUCUUCAAAACCCAAAUUUUUAUCUUAAUUGCAAUUAAAUGAACCUUUCAAUCUUCUGAAUUAGAAUUCAAUACGUGAAUUCUUAUACACUUAGGUAGAAUUCAAUUGCUUAAAUUCAAAAUUACAUUAACAUAAUAAUGCAAUUUAUUUAUANUUAAAAUCAUCAAUCAAAAUUUCAAACAUCAUUCUAUCACAUCNAAAUAUUCAAUCAGGAUUCAAUCAAAUUAAUCACCCUUUAAAUGCAAAGAUAAUUUUUUCAUAAAUAAAAGGUACUUAAGAAAAGUUCCACAUUGAUUAUACAAUAAAGAAAAGUAAGCUUCCCAUACCUUAGCUAAUCAACAAAAUAAGUUUUCACCCCUUCUUCUACAGACUCUCCUUCCUUUCAGUCGCUCUGUCUAAUGCUUUCUUUUUCCUUUCCUUUCACCUCUUCUUCCUAAAAUCUUUCACCCACUAUUCCUAAAAUCUCUCAACCACUAUUUUAAAAACACAACUGCUAUAUCUUUUAUUUUUUCUUUUAAUGUAUGCCUUUACUUCUUAUACCCCUAUUUAUAAUAUCUGCACCCCAAUUACAAAAAUGGAAAAGACAUUUUUGCCCUUAGGCAUACAUAUCUACCAUUAAG
This 1646-nucleotide long non-coding RNA is filed under the name Vigna radiata. RNAcentral describes it as "long non-coding RNA (VRAD_LNC017447)". The record is from RNAcentral. Lineage: Eukaryota; Viridiplantae; Streptophyta; Magnoliopsida; Fabales; Fabaceae.